This 478-nucleotide ribosomal RNA is filed under the name uncultured bacterium. RNAcentral's name for it is "partial 16S ribosomal RNA". It matches the Rfam family "Bacterial small subunit ribosomal RNA", at positions 28 to 523 of the family's 1533-position model. The record is from RNAcentral.
GACGAACGCUGGCGGCGUGCUUAACACAUGCAAGUUGAACGGUAAGGCCCUUCGGGGUACACGAGUGGCGAACGGGUGAGUAACACGUUGGUGAUCCGCCCUGCACUUCGGGAUAAGCCUGGGAAACUGGGUCUAAUACCGGAUAGGACCACUGCCUGCAUGGGUGGUGGGGGACAGCUUUUGCGGUGUGGGAUGGGCCCGCGGCCUAUCAGCUUGUGGGUGGGGUGAUGGCCUACCAAGGCGACGACGGGUAGCCGGCCUGAGAGGGUGACCGGCCACACUGGGACUGAGAUACGGCCCAGACUCCUACGGGAGGCAGCAGUGGGGAAUAUUGCACAAUGGGCGCAAGCCUGAUGCAGCGACGCCGCGUGAGGGAUGACGGCCUUCGGGUUGUAAACCUCUUUCAGCACCGACGAAGCGCAAGUGACGGUAGGUGCAGAAGAAGGACCGGCCAACUACGUGCCAGCCGCCGCCGUAA